Molecule: long non-coding RNA, 211 nt
Filed under: Capsicum annuum
Lineage: Eukaryota; Viridiplantae; Streptophyta; Magnoliopsida; Solanales; Solanaceae
Description: long non-coding RNA (CANN_LNC003297)
Source: RNAcentral
UUCAUUUUAGUAUGAAAUUCAAAUUGAAAAUCCAAAAAUAUUUUUCUUUGGUAAUCAUAGAAUUCAUUUUCUAUAGGAAAUUUAAAGCUUAAAAAUUCAAAAAAAAAAUUCGCCAAUUCUUUUGACAAAUUGUUAUUUUCUUUUCUUCUUAAAGUUUCAAGAAUAAGAAAGAGAAUUUGACUGGCCAUUUUUUGGCCAAACUUCACGAACU